UAGGGAAUCUUCGGCAAUGGACGAAAGUCUGACCGAGCAACGCCGCGUGAGUGAAGAAGGUUUUCGGAUCGUAAAACUCUGUUGUUAGAGAAGAACAAGGACGUUAGUAACUGAACGUCCCCUGACGGUAUCUAACCAGAAAGCCACGGCUAACUACGUGCCAGCAGCCGCGGUAAUACGUAGGUGGCAAGCGUUGUCCGGAUUUAUUGGGCGUAAAGCGAGCGCAGGCGGUUUCUUAAGUCUGAUGUGAAAGCCCCCGGCUCAACCGGGGAGGGUCAUUGGAAACUGGGAGACUUGAGUGCAGAAGAGGAGAGUGGAAUUCCAUGUGUAGCGGUGAAAUGCGUAGAUAUAUGGGGGAACACCAGUGGCGAAGGCGGCCCCCUGGACGAAGACUGACGCUCAGGUGCGAAAGCGUGGGGAGCAAACAGG
Molecule: ribosomal RNA, 429 nt
Filed under: Chloroflexota bacterium
Lineage: Bacteria; Bacillati; Chloroflexota
Description: Chloroflexi bacterium partial 16S ribosomal RNA
Rfam family: Bacterial small subunit ribosomal RNA
Source: RNAcentral